UACAGAGGGUGCGAACGUUGCUCGGAUUUACUGGGCGUAAAGCGCUUGUAGGCGGGCGAAUGUGUCGGGGGUGAAAUCCCUGAGCUUAACUCAGGAACUGCAUUCGAAACUAUUCGUCUUGAGGAAUUGAGAGGAGAACGGAACUCCCGGUGUAGAGGUGAAAUUCGUAGAUAUCGGGAGGAACACCAGAUGCGAAGGCGGUUCUCUGGAAAUUAUCUGACGCUGAGAAGCGAAAGCGUGGGGAGCAAACAGG
RNAcentral lists this ribosomal RNA (253 nucleotides) under uncultured bacterium. RNAcentral's name for it is "partial 16S ribosomal RNA". It matches the Rfam family "Bacterial small subunit ribosomal RNA", at positions 524 to 776 of the family's 1533-position model. The record is from RNAcentral.